CCCGCUCAGAAACUUAAAGGAAGUUGACGGGGAGCACCACAACGGGUGGAGCCUGCGGUUUAAUUGGAUUCAACGCCGGACAACUCACCGGAUACGACAGCGGAAUGAUAGCCGGGCUGAAGACUCUGCUUGACUAGCUGAGAGGAGGUGCAUGGCCGUCGUCAGUUCGUACUGUGAAGCAUCCUGUUAAGUCAGGCAACGAGCGAGACCCACGCCAACAGUUGCCAGCAUGAUCUCCGGAUUGAUGGGGACACUGUUGGGACCGCCUCUGCUAAAGGGGAGGAAGGAAUGGGCAACGGUAGGUCAGCAUGCCCCGAAUUAUCCGGGCUACACGCGGGCUACAAUGGAUGGGACAAUGGGUUUCGACACCGAAAGGUGAAGGUAAUCUCCUAACCCCACCCGUAGUUCGGAUUGCGGGCUGCAACUCGCCCGCAUGAAGCUGGAAUCCGUAGUAAUCGCGUCUCACGAUGGCGCGGUGAAUAUGUCCCUGCUCCUU
This 496-nucleotide ribosomal RNA is filed under the name uncultured Methanocalculus sp. RNAcentral describes it as "bacterial SSU rRNA". It matches the Rfam family "Archaeal small subunit ribosomal RNA", at positions 843 to 1338 of the family's 1478-position model. The record is from RNAcentral. Lineage: Archaea; Methanobacteriati; Methanobacteriota; Methanomicrobia; Methanomicrobiales; Methanocalculaceae.